Long non-coding RNA from Stegodyphus dumicola, 9395 nucleotides. The record is from RefSeq and is a predicted model, not a curated record. Lineage: Eukaryota; Metazoa; Arthropoda; Arachnida; Araneae; Eresidae.
AUACUAUUCAUUAUAUAUAUUUCAGAAAUCUCUUCAACCUCCACUGCCAGGAGACUUAGCUAUAAGUUUUUAUGUGCAGUCUCAUAAACUAGUAUUUGAUGUAUAUCAUAUUUUAUCCAAAGAAGCUCAGGGACCACUUAAAUUUGAUGUCUUUCAGGCUGAGUCAUCUGUUCCUUGGCUAAGUGAAGUUUUAGUUCUGUUCACUGUAUCAUUGCAGUUGUGUCAACAGCUGAAAGAUAAAAUUGCUGUGUUUGCUCAGUACAAAGAAAUGAAUAUGAUAUAAUAAAUGUACUUCAUGUGUAUGUUACAAGUUUAUGAUUUUUGUUAAGAUUAAAUAUAUGUUUGAUUGUAUUGUUGAAAGGUAACAAUGCCUUAAAAAUUGGAGUUUUGUAACUAAAAAACUGUGAGUGGUAGUUUUGAGAUGCUAGUUUGUACUAACUGUGCAAUAUGUUAGUCUUAUGCAGUGUUGAUAGUAUGUAUUAAUUGCAACAUAUUGUUUUGAUGUACUGUGUUUUAUAACUUUUGCUGUGCAUUUUGUGUUAUAAAAUAUUGUUGGUACUAAUGUAAUUUCAUAUGUUAAACAUUGACCUAAUUUCUUACUCCAAGAUAACAUUUUUGUUCUAUAUCACUGCGAAAACAAUUGAGUUCAGUGUGUGUGUAUAUAUGUAACCAAUCUUGUAUUUCUUAUAAUUUUUUUUUUUUCUUUGGGGGGGAGAACAGAUAUUCUCCUCUCUUUCUUUUUUUUUUUUUUUUAAUCCAAAUUUUUCUCCAUUAGAAAAGAAUUACUUUUUGGGGGGCAUAAACAUUUCAUAUGGUCAUAAAAAAAUUAUAACUUUUUAAGAAAUAAAUAAAUCAAUUAUAUGGAUUUUUAUAGUAAUAUCUUACCUUGAGUGACAUGUUAGUUUAUUUUUUGUUGUUAAGCAUUCGAUUACUAAUGCAUGUCCGCUGCUAAACUAGAAAUCUUGUAUGUAUUAAAAAAAAAAGUAUGGUUCUUAGAAUUUUGCAACUCCUUCUUUUAAUGAAUAUUUCCUGUUACCUAAAGGUAUUUUUUAUAAAUUGGCAUCUGUAAUUUUUAUAUGACGUUGAAAUUACAAUCAUAAUAUACAUAUAUGUGUGACACAUUACUUGACUGAAGCAUUUGAAGAUGAAUAUAAAAGAGUAGUAUGCCAAUAAUGUCCAGAAGAUAAUAUGUUUCUGAAGCUAAGAUCUCUGUUAAAAAAAUGAAAACAAUUAUUUUAGCCUGUUUUAAAGCAAUUUUGUUGAUUUAAUUAUCAUGUGCAACUGAGACCAGAGUUUGUUUUUAAAUAUGUAAUAUUAAAGGAAAAUUUCAUGUUUAUAAAAUAAAAGAUUUGCAAAUAUUUUUUUUUUCUCAGUUAGUCCUUUUUAGGGAGGAUAGAGUAGUAUAUGCUAUAUAUUUGCUGAAUUUUUAGCAUUAUUUAUUAAAAUGAAGAAAUAGUAAAUGGUAUUAAUCAGGUAGCAAUUUUUAUGAUGGUUAUAAUAAUGCAGCAAAUGUUUUAGCUGUAUAAUUAAUUAUUGUCCAUAUAUUGAUAGUCUUAAAAAUGCUUAGGCAUACAAAAUAUUUUGGAUUUCUAAUAAAAUAUUUUUUAUUUUUUUCCUUAAUCUUAAAAAUACUACUUUUAAGGUGGUAUAGUAAAAACUAAUGCAAAAGUUGUUUUUUCCCCAUUUGCGGGCACUUAGCUGACUUAGGUUUUAUUGUGGAUGCACCUAAUUUGUCAGCCACCAUUUCCAAAGAACAUCUAUGUAAAGAAGAAAAGGCUUCAUAGACGUAAUGUAAACCAAUUUGUCUUUUACGCCACUAGAAAGCAGAGAGAAAAUUCGCCAAGGGAUUUGGCAACAGAACCUGUUGGCGAGAAUUCCCCCCUCUGUGGUGUACCGGACCUGGCCAAGAUUUUCCUCCUUCUCAAAGUGUACAGUAAAUUGAGGAACACGGGUUAAGAUGAAUAAGAAAAUCAAGUGAAGUUUUACUUUCAAUGGCUAUUGAACUUGCAUUAUCCAUAUCUCAGUUUAAUAUCUGAUUUUAUAUCCGUCAAUAUGAAGGGGGGAAAAUUGAGUCAUACAGCUUUAAACUCUUGAUAAACCUGACCAUUGAACCUGUUCGAACUUUGACAUAAGCUUUGAACUUAGGUGCUUUUUGGCAACAAAGAUUUCACGCAUGCAUGUGCAUUUCCCUUUUUCUUCGAAGGGAGCCACUUCUGGUGCUGUGAAGUUUUCCUUCUUAACAAUACAUUUUUUUUUACCAUUACCUCCUAUGAAGGGACAGACAACAAUUUAAACUAGGCCCAUUGGUACCACAGUAUGCUUCCCUACCCAUUAUACCAUCUAGGCAGCACUAACACAAAAGUAAUAUUUCCAAAUUAUGUAUUGGGAUAUAAUAUUUUACCUCCUUUUAGUUUUGUAGUUAAAAAAAAAGCUGUUGUUAAAAUUAUUUUAUUUCUUUUGCUAUUAUAAUUUCUUCUUUAGUAUUCCUCCUUAAGGACAAAAUUUAUUAAUUUAGUGAUAAAUUAUGGCAGUUUUUAACUUUCCAGCCAUCCAAAUGUUUCUUUACUUUCCCCAUGAAUAUCUCAAAACCCUAUGAGGUAAACAUAUUUUUUUCAUUUUACACUUUCUACCUAAAUCCUUUUCCUUGUGAUAUGCUACCUUAUAUAGCUUGGGUAUGUUUAAAGGUGCAUGUGUAUGUAUUUGAUUAAAGAUAUCAUUGGAUAUGUGUAACAUAUGGUUUAGAUAAUUUGGAAGGUAAUUAGAAGAUCUGAAUUUAAUUGAGAGUUCAGUUAAAUAACUGUUGGAAUUAAAUAAUAAGUUGAAAUGAAAAACUGUUUUGACUAGAAAUAAAGAACUAAAAUGAAGGAUGAAAAGAACUAUUUUAUGUUGAAAUAAAGAACUAAAAUGUUAUAACUGCUUAUUUCAUGGUUUAGAAUAUUAAAAUGUACUGUUAAUGAUUAUUUUUUGUCCUGAAUACUUAUUUAUUUUAUUGAGAUUAAUUUAUAGAUCUUAUAUAUAUAUUGAUAUUUGUAUAUACACACAUAUAUAUGUAUGUAUGCAUGUUUGUAAUCUAAGUGGAUUAAUUUUUUGGAAGGAGAGGGAAGUUCAAAAAAAAUAUUCGGGUUUUCUAACAUUUAUUUCCUAAACAGGAGAAAGGAAAAAACGUGCAUACCUCCUUUGAGUUUGAAUUUGAUAUUUUCCUCACUCUAUUGUCCCUUUUUUGCACAUAGUUUUAUUAAGAAAAGUUUCAGGUAGAAAUGUGACUCAAAUCUUUUUUUCUUGUUAAAAGAAGGCUGUAGUUUUAUUAAGAAAAGUUUCAGGCAGAAAUGUGACUCAAAUCUUUUUUUCUUGUUGAAAGAAAGCCUUUCUUACCUAAAUGUGAAUUGAAUAUGUAAAUAAUGUUGUUUAAUAAUUAUAUUAAACAUUUUCUUAAAUUUGUACAUAACUUAUAUUGUUUCUCAGAUUAUUAUAUAAAAAAUUAUUAAAUAUGUUUAAUUUUAUUUUAAAAAAAUAUUUUUUUGAUGAUCCUUGACCUCAGUUUAAACAUUUAUUAGAACUGCUAUGAUUUAAAGUUUUUUUUUCUUUUCUUUUUGUGACACUAGCCAACACAACACAACCCUAGCAUGCAUAUAGACGUGUAUGAGUACAUGGGAAUUUUUAUGCUUUAAGCAAGCUAUUUAGACUUCGUUUUCUGAUCAAUUGUCCCCUCCACCAUGCGCACUCUUCUUUUUUUCCUUGUAAUGCAUUAUAAUGGCAGUGUGAAGUUCACUGGCUAAGGAGUAAGAUAAUGUUGUAUUCCUUCAGAAAUUUGGUUUUUGUCUCAACAAUAGACAACAUGAAAAUUUUCAUUCUGUAUCAUUGUGCUUCCUAAAAACUGAACUUUAGGAACUUUAGAAAUGCAGUGUAAAAAACUACAAGCAAAGUGUUAUAAUCCUAGUUGGAAUUAUUUUGGAGAAAAUUAGAGAACAGUGGGGUGGACUUUCUUUGUAGGGGUGCAGGUCAUCAGAGAGUACAAGAAACUUGCAUAUUAAUUUAUAAAACUAACUUACUGAGCACAUAAUAAUUUGGGUCAUUAAUGAGCUUGGCUUUCCUUAUCAUACCUUUUUCUCAUAAAUAAGGAUAAUUAUUUUUAAUUCUAAGAUUUUUCAACAAUAUAUUUAAAAAAAGGUCCUCUUUUCUGCAAAGAAAAUCAUUCUAAAAUAAUUUACACUAGUUUGUUCUUGAAAUUCAUCAAGCUUUUUUAAUUGAAAGUUUUUUAAUGAUAUAAAAAAGACCUAAUUAUAAGGUUUUAAUGUCAAAUGAGCAAAGAAAUUGCUGAAUUUAUGAGGGUGAUAUAAUAAUAACUCUUUUUGUUUUGGAAGAAGAAAUUCUUAAGUAGAGUAUUAAAUGGAACUUAGCAUGUAAAUAUAAAUUUUUUUCAUUAUGACUUCAAAUUACACAUCUGAAAUAAUUUAUAUUGUAUAUGUCAAGCUGUAUCAAAAUAAUUGAAACUUCUUGGAUCAACAAAGUGAAAAGCAUAAAUGAAAAUUUUCUGCAAUUUCUAGAUGCUCAGUUUGUUGGACAAGAAAUUGGAUUCUCUAAAGUGGCCUUAAAUCUAGAAAUAGUGAUAUUGGUUAUAAUUCUGCACAGAUACCAGAAUUUCAAAGCCAUCAUUAUGUCUCUGUUAAAUGAUAGUAAAGCAUUAAUCUAAAAUUAACAUAAGGGCUUGACUAGUGAUGUGGACCAUGCUAGAGAUUAUUAAACUGUGCAUUUAUUCCUAGAGUAGUGAAUAGUUAUAGAAUUUGUGUAAUUUAGUUAGCUAUUUUAACAUAGAAAUGAAGUAGUAAUUAUUUGUGCAAUUAAAAAUAGAUGGAAUUUUUUUAAUAUUGGAUAUUUGAAGAAAAGAAUUCUAAGAAUGACUUAAAAUAUGGAAAAUAUGUGGAUAUUAAUUUUAUGGUAAUUUCAGUUCAAGCAUUUAAUCUGUAUUUCAACAGAUCAAAAUUAUAUAAUGCAGAGAUUUUAAUAAGUUAUGAAUUAAUAUGCUUCAAUUCUUCGUAUCAAAUUACCUUCAAAAUUAAUCAAAAUUAAAAUCAUUAGAUGCUAAAAUUAAAAACAUGUUACCAAAAAAAAAAAAAAAAAAUACUGUGCUUUCAGGGUCUUGGACUAAAAGCUCUACUCAUUCUCUUCAUAGCAGUCUAUUUUUGAUUUUCAUUCAAAUGAUUAAUAGAAUCUGAAUAAUCUAAUUAUUUCAAAACUAAAAAUCUCAUUAAGUCUUUUUAAGAUAGAGACUUAGAAGAAUAAAGACUCUUUUAAGAAUGGAGAGGGCAUAAAUGUAUAUUUAGUUUAUAAUUAAUGAAUUCAUCUUUAAUAUGUAAGAUUUUCAUUUAUAAACCGAUGAAAAAAUAGAGCCAAAAAUAGGAGAGGCGUGAUGAUUAGAAUGCAAUGAUACCAAGUUAAUAUUAUUAAAAUUAUUAACUGAAAACUCUCACCAAAUAGAGAACAAAGUGGAAGAGGGAUCUAAGAAAGGCCCAUCCUAGAUUGUCAUGCCAAUAGAAAAAUCAAAGAAGCUUCUGAGUGACUGAAAGAAAUCAGGAUUUCCAACAUAAUUUUUUGUUUGUUAGAAUAUAAAUAUUUCUAUUUUGUACCUGUAUGUAAAGAAUGUAUGCUCAUGGCAGAAAAUUCUGGUUUGAUAGAUAUAACACUUUUAUUGUUAAUUAAAACCAGUAGUUAUUAUUGAUGCUAAUAUGAAUUACUGCUGGUUAAUAGAGAAAGAUAAAGGGCAUUAUGAUUAGCUGAUAACAAGUUCUUGAAAUUCACUAAUCUCUUUUUCUGUUUGUGGUACUUGUCUUUCAUUUAGGUAUGGCUGAAGAAGGGAAUACUAGUGAAUUACUAAAGGCAUUUCUAAUAAAAUAAAAUCUAUGCCAAUUAUCACCAGUUUUCUUAUAGAAAGUUUUACUUGGCAUGCCAAUUCUUCCCCCAAGAAUUCCUAGAGAAAUGAGUAAAUUGACUAAAGGAAAUAUUGCAUAUAAUGAAACUAUAAUUUGAGAAGAAAUUUUUUAUAAUUCAGAUUUAAUUCAAAUAAUUUAUGACUCAUCAGAAUUUUCAAAUAGGAUGGAAAAUUUAUAUUUUUAAGUGUAAUUUUUUAAUUUAUAAUUUUAAGUGUGCAAUUAUAUUCUUUUCACAGUGCAGCUACAAUUCAUUUCAUCUGGUUAACAUUAGGUAUUCAGUUUAAUAUGUUGUUGUUUUCUACUUAAUCUUUUUUUAGAAAUGAACAUUCUUAAUUUACAUUGAUUAAAGAAUAUGUGAGUACCUCUAUGUAUAUAUCUAGAAACUUAAUUUUCAUAGUUAUAAAUGUUUAAAAAAGAUUUCAGCAAUUAAUUUUUAUAUUUUUUAUUAAAAUUUGCAUAAAAAAAUUUAAAAAAUCAUUCAUACAUUUUGACUGAAUGUAAUUAAUUUUUAUAUCUUACCAGUUAAAGUUUUUAUUAAUUUAUGUAGUUUUGUGGUAAGGUUACUUAUGUUUCAGAGGCAAAACUAUUGUUCAUAAUUUUGCCAUACAAAGUUAAAAAUUAUGUCAUAUCAUAACAUGGAAAAAAUAUGUGCCCUGCAUUAUUUAAUAAAUGAUGAUUAACAGUCAGAUUAAUAAAAUAUCUGGUACUUCAUUUGCUGUAUGUAAUUUGAGAUUCACUUUUACAUGUUCUUAAUAAUGGGGGAAAUUUUAUUAUAAGUGAUAUUUCAAUUGUAAUUUGCAAAUUUUUAACAGGAGUAAUAAUAAUUUAAGACAAACUAUAAGCUAAAUUUAUCAAUAGUUAACAUUUAAGGUUUAGCAUAAUUAAUACAUACAUAUUACAGCAAAUUAGAUUUUAUGCUAAAAUCGUAAUAAAUUAAUUUUCCAUCCUUUCUUUGAAAUAGAAAGUAAAUACCCCUGAAUACAUUUAAGUCAGUUUUUAAACUAUCCUUUUUUUCAUUUAAAGUAUGUCUUCAUUAUCAAUUUCUAGAAUGAUUUAGAACAUAUCAUCAGAACUUGCUAAAUUUUUUUCAGUUAGAUUUUAAAAAUUUAUGGCUGCAGAUUUUGUUAAAGAGCUGAAUUAUUUGAUUAUAGUGAAGCAGACAAGGGCUGUCUGCAUAUGGAAAAAGUUGCCCCCAUGAAGAUUUUCCAAAGAAAACUGUCUCAUAUUGAUAUUGCAUAUGAAGAAAAUCAUAAAAGCAUUAUGUACUACCAAGAAUAAGAUUGUGAAGUGGAAUAAAGAGUUUUCCUUGUCUCUUGGUAUUCUGCUAUUUGUAAAUUUGUUAUAGUAUUGCAGUUUUGAUUAAUUUAAGAAUUUAUUGCUUAGAGCCUAAAGCUGUAUUCAGUUCAAUUAUUUGGUUUGUCAAAACUUAUGGUACUGAAAUAUUAACACAAAACCUUGGUGCAAUUUGGGGGGUUGAAUCUUUUUUUUCUAUAGAAAGAUUCCAAAAUCGUUGGUAUUUAUCUAAAGUCGGUAAACAUUAUCAUCAUAUAAAAAGAAUUAGCAAUUUAAAAUACAAAUUUGAGUUAUUAAAUAAGGAUUACGUGAUGCAUUAAAAAAUAAAACACUUAAAUUCUUCCUCAAAUAUUUCUGUAUUUUUUUUUUUUUUUUUUGCACUAUUCUUUUCCCAAAAUACACAACAAUCUGUUUUUGCUUUAAAAAAAAUAGAGAAUUGCAAAGACUUGGCUUUGAACAACCCUCGGCAGCAGGCUAUCUGGGAAAUGUAUUUCCUCAUUGUUCCCUUUAAAUAUUUUUCAGAAAAAUUCUAUAUACUUACAGAAAUUUUACUGCAAUUUCUUCCAUUGCUGGCAAAUUCCACAAGUCACUCGAGAACAGCAAUUUCAUUGUUCGCUUGAUUUUGACUAGCUUUUGGCCUCUGAAUCCGAAAAUAACCUCAGUUUUUGUCUAUCCUGUUAACUUUAAGCCACAGGAUACUUCAGAAGUCACAUAAAAUGUGCAUAUAAAAGAAAAUAAAGGGAAAACUUACCAAAUAUAUUGAAUAGCUUGGAAUUAUAUGCCAAUGCAUCGUUGCAUUGCAGAAACUAAAUAUUGGUUUUUUAAGUCUAAUAUGCUGAGUUCUCUUCUAAAGUUUGUCUAUUGCAUCUUUAAAAUGUUAAGUUCAUAUCUCUCCAGAAAUGCAGUACCUUUACUGUACUUUGUAAGAUAAUGUUUUAAAGGAUGAUGCAGAUGAAAAGAUUUUUUCCCCCUUCUGUAACAUAUGUAGGUAUUGAAAGAAUGUGAGAUUAUUUAAAAUCUGAUUACAGGUAGCCAUGACUGCUCAUCAUCAUAUUUUCAAGCUUGAGAACUAAGGACAUACAUUUAAAGGUUCAAACCUGACCAUUUUUCAUUUCUGUUAUUUAGAUGAAUAGGUUUAAUAUACUCGUGCAAGUUCUCAUAUUCCUAUUUCCUGUUAGAAGAUUGAACUGUGCAGGUUUGAGUUACAGUGUUUUAUUAUUUUAUGACCCAUUUUCACUUGGUGUACAUUUUGAAAACUUCUCUUGCUGUAAAUUAUAAAUACAAAGCAGGUUAUCAUGGGGGCACAAACUGCACUUUAUUUUAAAGAUUUGUUAGUCUUUCAUAUGUGCCUGAAGAGUUAAAUUUUAGGUAUAUGUAAUGUAACUGUAUAACAUAUGUUAUUUACUUUGUUUAUUUUUUAAUAAGAAGAGCUGGAUAAAUGUUUGGUUGAAGUAUAUUUUGGUUAAUUUUCACUCAGAAAAAUUAAUUGUUAUGAAGAUUUCUUUAUUUUCAUAUAAGGCAUUGUAUGUGAAAAGAGCGAAUCCACUAAUUAUUUCUUGGAGAAAACGAGUCUAAAUUUCAUAUCUUCAGUAGGUACUGCAUAUAAUAUAAGAAAUUUGGUAGUAAAUCUUUUCUAUCAGAAAACUCUAAAAUAUAUAAAUUAAAAACUGCUCUCUAGCUCAGUGCUUCUCAAAUUUUUAGCCUUGCUACACUGCAAAUUACCAAGAAACCCCAUGUGAAGGAAAUGAUGAGAGAAAGGAUUUAUAGAAAGAAAUACUGUAAUAAUGAAAUUGUUAUAAUAUACAUAACUGUUUACAAUUUUAAAUAAAAAUUCAUAAUUUUAUAGCAAAACUAAAUCUAGGAAUCGCUCUUCAUAUUGAUUUCUCUUUUUACAUAAAUUGCCUGUCAUGUUCUAUAAAGAACUUAAAUUUAUUAAAAUUUGUUUUUCAUAUUAUUCAUUUUAUAAAUGUAAAAUAUUGUGCAAGAUGAGUUUUGAGAUUUUUCUCUUAAUGUUAUGCUGAUUGUUGAAGAACUAUGAGGUGUCUAUAUAUAUAUAGUGAUCAUGUAUCUAUAGCAUCAUGGCAAUCUUACCAUGUCUUCCAUCUCUUUUGUCUACUACAUGCUAACCCUGGCUUGGAGGAUAGAAGAUAAUAAAGUUGCCUUUUUUUUAAAAAA